CCUACGGGAGGCAGCAGUGAGGGAUAUUGGUCAAUGGACGAGAGUCUGAACCAGCCAAGUAGCGUGAAGGAUGACUGCCCUAUGGGUUGUAAACUUCUUUUAUAAAGGAAUAAAACGCGGCACGUGUGCCUUUUUGCAUGUACUUUAUGAUUCAGGAUCGGCUAACUCCGUGCCAGCAGCCGCGGUAAUCCGGAGGAUCCGAGCGUUAUCCGGAUUUAUUGGGUUUAAAGGGAGCGUAGAUGGGUUGUUAAGUCAGUUGUGAAAGUUUGCGGCUCAACCGUAAAAUUGCAAUUGAUACUGGCAGGCUGGAGUACAGUUGAGGCAAGCGGAAUUCGUGGUGUAGCGGUGAAAUGCUUAGAUAUCACGAAGAACCCCGAUUGCGAAGGCAGCUUACUAAACUGUGACUGACAUUGAUGCUCGAAAGUGUGGGUAUCAAACAGGAUUAGAUACCCCAGUAGUC
RNAcentral lists this ribosomal RNA (460 nucleotides) under uncultured bacterium. Its description in RNAcentral is "partial 16S ribosomal RNA". It matches the Rfam family "Bacterial small subunit ribosomal RNA", at positions 338 to 795 of the family's 1533-position model. The record is from RNAcentral.